RNAcentral lists this ribosomal RNA (253 nucleotides) under uncultured bacterium. Its description in RNAcentral is "partial 16S ribosomal RNA". It matches the Rfam family "Bacterial small subunit ribosomal RNA", at positions 524 to 776 of the family's 1533-position model. The record is from RNAcentral.
UACGAAGGGGGCUAGCGUUGCUCGGAAUCACUGGGCGUAAAGGGUGCGUAGGCGGGUCUUUAAGUCAGGGGUGAAAUCCUGGAGCUCAACUCCAGAACUGCCUUUGAUACUGAAGAUCUUGAGUUCGGGAGAGGUGAGUGGAACUGCGAGUGUAGAGGUGAAAUUCGUAGAUAUUCGCAAGAACACCAGUGGCGAAGGCGGCUCACUGGCCCGAUACUGACGCUGAUGCACGAAAGCGUGGGGAGCGAACAGG